This is a long non-coding RNA of Haliotis rubra (blacklip abalone), 1064 nucleotides long. RefSeq lists it as uncharacterized. Lineage: Eukaryota; Metazoa; Mollusca; Gastropoda; Lepetellida; Haliotidae. The record is from RefSeq and is a predicted model, not a curated record. The transcript is spliced from 2 exons.
UAUCGGUUGCUGCGUCUGCUGUGGUUGUAGUUGCUGGCAUUGUCAUUGGAAUAGUUGUCUGGAAGAGGAAACAAAGAGAUCAACCGAAGAUCUCAGAUCAAGUUGUACGCUACAACAUAGGUUCAUAUGAAAACGUUAAACCUGCAAAGACAAAACCUGAAGACAACAAUCGUCAGUUCGAUGACAUGACGUAUGACAAGCUUGAUGUCAACUUACGCGAUAGAGGACCUGAUGAAGAACCAUACUGUUCCAUACAGACUCGUCGAUCGGACGAAACAGACAUAUAUGAAUGUAUUGAUAGCAUUUGCGAAACUCCACAAGUUAUGUCCAGCAUGACAUCGAGUGGCAUACGUGAAGAACAUUGAAUACCGGAUUACGGCCACAAACAUCACUCACAUGCAUAUACUUUUUUAAAAAUUAUACAAAUCUAUAGUUUCAACAAAUACCUGCGAAGACCCGGGUUGGAAAUCAUCUUCAGCAGUCCAUGCAUGUCGUAAAAGAGGACUGACAGUUCGGGUAGUCAAACUUAUUUACCUGGUUGAUCAUCUUCAGCAGUCCAUGCAUGUCGUAAAAGAGGACUGACAGUUCGGGUAGUCAAACUUAUUUACCUGGUUGAUCAUCUUCAGCAGUCCAUGCAUGUCGUAAAAGAGGACUGACAGUUCGGGUAGUCAAACUUAUUUACCCGGUCGAUCAUCUUCAGCAGUCCAUGCAUGUCGUAAAAGAGGACUGACAGUUCGGGUUGUCAAACUUAUUUACCUGGUUGAUCAUCUUUAGCAGUCCAUGCAUGUCGUACAGUUGGACAGUUCGGGUAGUCAAGCUUAUUUACCUGGUUGAUCAUCUUUAGCAGUCCAUGCAUGUCGUAAAAGAGGACUGACAGUUCGGGUAGUCAAACUUAUUUACCUGGUUGAUCAUCUUCAGCAGUCCAUGCAUGUCGUAAAAGAGGACUGACAGUUCCGGUAGUCAAACUUAUUUACCUGGUUCAUCGAUGCCCAUGGUGCCAGUCACUGGAUUACCGUCAUAUAGCUGGAAUCUUGCUGGGUGCUGCGUUAGAUAACAAAGAUGCA